This 253-nucleotide ribosomal RNA is filed under the name uncultured bacterium. RNAcentral describes it as "partial 16S ribosomal RNA". It matches the Rfam family "Bacterial small subunit ribosomal RNA", at positions 524 to 776 of the family's 1533-position model. The record is from RNAcentral.
UACGUAGGGUGCAAGCGUUGUCCGGAAUUAUUGGGCGUAAAGAGCUUGUAGGCGGUUUGUCGCGUCUGCUGUGAAAUUUCGGGGCUCAACCCCGAACUUGCAGUGGGUACGGGCAGACUAGAGUUCGGUAGGGGAGUCUGGAAUUCCUGGUGUAGCGGUGAAAUGCGCAGAUAUCAGGAGGAACACCGGUGGCGAAGGCGGGACUCUGGGCCGAUACUGACGCUGAGGAGCGAAAGCGUGGGGAGCAAACAGG